Molecule: ribosomal RNA, 253 nt
Filed under: uncultured bacterium
Lineage: Bacteria
Description: partial 16S ribosomal RNA
Rfam family: Bacterial small subunit ribosomal RNA
Source: RNAcentral
CACGUAGGGCGCAAGCGUUGUCCGGAAUUAUUGGGCGUAAAGAGCUCGUAGGCGGUCUGUUGCGUCCGCUGUGAAAACUCGGGGCUUAACCCCGAGCCUGCAGUGGAUACGGGCAGACUAGAGGUAGGUAGGGGAGAAUGGAAUUCCCGGUGUAGCGGUGAAAUGCGCAGAUAUCGGGAGGAACACCGGAGGCGAAGGCGGCUCACUGGGUCUUUUCUGACGCUGAGGGACGAAAGCUAGGGGAGCGAACGGG